Non-coding RNA from Kogia breviceps (pygmy sperm whale), 213 nucleotides. NCBI's taxonomy places the organism in Eukaryota, Metazoa, Chordata, Mammalia, Artiodactyla, Physeteridae. The record is from RefSeq and is a predicted model, not a curated record.
UAUCUCUUGGAGAAAGAAUCCUGUGACAUUACUACAACUGCAUAGUGUAAUGCUCCAUAUGGCAGCUACUAACCUGGGUCCUGGAGUGAAGACACUGUGGGAUAGAGCCAUACCUAAUCAAUGAUUAUGUGUAAAACGAGACCUUUGUGAUUACAGCCAGCCCACCACCAUAACCCAGGAUAAUUUCUUCAUCUCAAGAUCUUUAAUUUAAUC